Molecule: non-coding RNA, 333 nt
Filed under: Salinivibrio sp. KP-1
Lineage: Bacteria; Pseudomonadati; Pseudomonadota; Gammaproteobacteria; Vibrionales; Vibrionaceae
Description: Bacterial small subunit ribosomal RNA
Rfam family: Bacterial small subunit ribosomal RNA
Source: Rfam by way of RNAcentral
CUUACGAGUAGGGCUACACACGUGCUACAAUGGCAGAUACAGAGGGCAGCGAAGCUGCGAAGUGGAGCGAAUCCCUUAAAGUUUGUCGUAGUCCGGAUUGGAGUCUGCAACUCGACUCCAUGAAGUCGGAAUCGCUAGUAAUCGUGGAUCAGAAUGCCACGGUGAAUACGUUCCCGGGCCUUGUACACACCGCCCGUCACACCAUGGGAGUGGGCUGCACCAGAAGUAGAUAGCUUAACCUUCGGGAGGGCGUUUACCACGGUGUGGUUCAUGACUGGGGUGAAGUCGUAACAAGGUAGCCCUAGGGGAACCUGGGGCUGGAUCACCUCCUUA